CUCCGACUCAGGAACGCAGCGAAGGGCGAUAAGCAGUGCGAAUUGCAGAACCGUGAGUCAUCAGAUUUUUGAACGCGACUGGCGCCGGCUGGCUCCCCAGUCGGCAUGCUUGUUUCAGUGUCUUGUCAACUACUCCCCAAAAAUCCUAAUGCGAGAGAUGCCCUUCUCUUGUUAAACAUGAAAAGCACUCUGCUCCCUGCAAGUGAUCUCAACUUCGGUUGAGGGUCACACUCAAUGCAGCAGUCACAUUGACAACAGUGUGAACUCAUUGAGAGUGGAGAACAGUGCAGUUAACCCUGCAAGUGCUUAGGCAAGCAACCUUUCAUUGCAUCUGAAAUCAAGCAGGACCACCCGCUGAACUUAA
Molecule: ribosomal RNA, 364 nt
Filed under: uncultured fungus
Lineage: Eukaryota; Fungi
Description: eukaryotic LSU rRNA
Rfam family: 5.8S ribosomal RNA (bases 10-123)
Source: RNAcentral